Molecule: long non-coding RNA, 184 nt
Organism: Zophobas morio
Lineage: Eukaryota; Metazoa; Arthropoda; Insecta; Coleoptera; Tenebrionidae
Exons: 3
Source: RefSeq, a predicted model, not a curated record
UUAUACCCUCGCCUUCUGCGUUUACUCAAGACGAUCACGAAACAUCCAUUACUUUAUGGUGGCUUACUAGUAGCGAAAUUAAUUGCUGUCGGCAUCUAGGCCACUAUUGUCCAAUAUAUAAUGAGGAGGAAAAAAAAGCUUCUAAAAAACUUCCACUAAAAAUAAAUUAUUGUGUACUACAAGG